CGAAUUCGCCCUUAGAGUUUGAUCAUGGCUCAGGAUGAACGCUGGCGGCGUGCCUAAUACAUGCAAGUCGAGCGAACGGACGAGAAGCUUGCUUCUCUGAUGUUAGCGGCGGACGGGUGAGUAACACGUGGAUAACCUACCUAUAAGACUGGGAUAACUUCGGGAAACCGGAGCUAAUACCGGAUAAUAUUUUGAACCGCAUGGUUCAAAAGUGAAAGACGGUCUUGCUGUCACUUAUAGAUGGAUCCGCGCUGCAUUAGCUAGUUGGUAAGGUGACGGCUUACCAAGGCAACGAUGCAUAGCCGACCUGAGAGGGUGAUCGGCCACACUGGAACUGAGACACGGUCCAGACUCCUACGGGAGGCAGCAGUAGGGAAUCUUCCGCAAUGGGCGAAAGCCUGACGGAGCAACGCCGCGUGAGUGAUGAAGGUCUUCGGAUCGUAAAACUCUGUUAUUAGGGAAGAACAUAUGUGUAAGUAACUGUGCACAUCUUGACGGUACCUAAUCAGAAAGCCACGGCUAACUACGUGCCAGCAGCCGCGGUAAUACGUAGGUGGCAAGCGUUAUCCGGAAUUAUUGGGCGUAAAGCGCGCGUAGGCGGUUUUUUAAGUCUGAUGUGAAAGCCCACGGCUCAACCGUGGAGGGUCAUUGGAAACUGGAAAACUUGAGUGCAGAAGAGGAAAGUGGAAUUCCAUGUGUAGCGGUGAAAUGCGCAGAGAUAUGGAGGAACACCAGUGGCGAAGGCGACUUUCUGGUCUGUAACUGACGCUGAUGUGCGAAAGCGUGGGGAUCAAACAGGAUUAGAUACCCUGGUAGUCCACGCCGUAAACGAUGAGUGCUAAGUGUUAGGGGGUUUCCGCCCCUUAGUGCUGCAGCUAACGCAUUAAGCACUCCGCCUGGGGAGUACGACCGCAAGGUUGAAACUCAAAGGAAUUGACGGGGACCCGCACAAGCGGUGGAGCAUGUGGUUUAAUUCGAAGCAACGCGAAGAACCUUACCAAAUCUUGACAUCCUUUGACAACUCUAGAGAUAGAGCCUUCCUCUUCGGGGGACAAAGUGACAGGUGGUGCAUGGUUGUCGUCAGCUCGUGUCGUGAGAUGUUGGGUUAAGUCCCGCAACGAGCGCAACCCUUAAGCUUAGUUGCCAUCAUUAAGUUGGGCACUCUAAGUUGACUGCCGGUGACAAACCGGAGGAAGGUGGGGAUGAGGUCAAAUCAUCAUGCCCCUUAUGAUUUGGGCUACACACGUGCUACAAUGGACAAUACAAAGGGCAGCGAAACCGCGAGGUCAAGCAAAUCCCAUAAAGUUGUUCUCAGUUCGGAUUGUAGUCUGCAACUCGACUACAUGAAGCUGGAAUCGCUAGUAAUCGUAGAUCAGCAUGCUACGGUGAAUACGUUCCCGGGUCUUGUACACACCGCCCGUCACACCACGAGAGUUUGUAACACCCGAAGCCGGUGGAGUAACCUUUUAGGAGCUAGCCGUCGAAGGUGGGACAAAUGAUUGGGGUGAAGUCGUAACAAGGUAACAAGGGCGAAUU
This 1536-nucleotide ribosomal RNA is filed under the name uncultured Staphylococcus sp. Its description in RNAcentral is "partial 16S ribosomal RNA". It matches the Rfam family "Bacterial small subunit ribosomal RNA". Lineage: Bacteria; Bacillati; Bacillota; Bacilli; Caryophanales; Staphylococcaceae. The record is from RNAcentral.